Molecule: long non-coding RNA, 731 nt
Filed under: Olea europaea subsp. europaea
Lineage: Eukaryota; Viridiplantae; Streptophyta; Magnoliopsida; Lamiales; Oleaceae
Source: RNAcentral
CGAAAAAUGAGAAAAAUCUAAUUGAAGCUCAAUUCCUGGAUCGGGUGGUAUUCCAAUAGGAUUGUGUUCUGGAAUCAAGUCUUCGACAACCUGCAAAAUAGAAUUAACCAAACUAGGGAGGGAAUUGUUAGUUUUCACCACGGCCUCCUCAACUUGAGGCUUCCUUUCAAUUAAACUCACUUCCAACUCCUCAUUCUCUUCCGAAGACUCUUCUUCAUUUUCUUUUUGUAGAUCCACUUUCCCUUUUGGAUUUUCACUCUCAACUUCUUUUUCAUUCUCUUGUGGUCUUUCUCCUUUUACCUCACAACUAACCACCUCAUAAUUUUCUUUAUUACCCUUUUGUUCCUCCAUGUGAGUUUUCUGAGAGUUAAUCAGGUUACGAAUCUCUGAGAGUUCACGCUUAUAAUCCAACAGAGUUCCCUGCUAGAUGUAUGAUCAACAUGCUUCACAAACGUUGUUUUCUCUCUCCUUGAAUUUCCAGCUCCACUAUAUCUUCUAGGCUUCUCUCUAAAUUUUUGCUCACGCCGAUCCCGCUUAUAAAAAUAAUUAGGUGCAUAUCGCUUUCUCAUUAUAGUCCUCAAUUCAUCCCAAGUUUCAAUACAUCUCUCUCCAUUCCUUCUCCUAGAUUUUGUCAACUGAUCCCACCAAGUAAUUGCAUUAUCCAAAAAGUGUUCACAACUAACUUUAAUUUUCUCUCCCCGAAGUAAUCAUGGCAAUCAACCACUAAUUCU